RNAcentral lists this ribosomal RNA (484 nucleotides) under uncultured bacterium. Its description in RNAcentral is "partial 16S ribosomal RNA". It matches the Rfam family "Bacterial small subunit ribosomal RNA", at positions 30 to 507 of the family's 1533-position model. The record is from RNAcentral.
AUUGAACGCUGGCGGCAGGCCUAACACAUGCAAGUCGAGCGGAUGAAGGGAGCUUGCUCCUGGAUUCAGCGGCGGACGGGUGAGUAAUGCCUAGGAAUCUGCCUGGUAGUGGGGGAUAACGUCCGGAAACGGGCGCUAAUACCGCAUACGUCCUGAGGGAGAAAGUGGGGGAUCUUCGGACCUCACGCUAUCAGAUGAGCCUAGGUCGGAUUAGCUAGUUGGUGGGGUAAAGGCCUACCAAGGCGACGAUCCGUAACUGGUCUGAGAGGAUGAUCAGUCACACUGGAACUGAGACACGGUCCAGACUCCUACGGGAGGCAGCAGUGGGGAAUAUUGGACAAUGGGCGAAAGCCUGAUCCAGCCAUGCCGCGUGUGUGAAGAAGGUCUUCGGAUUGGAAAGCACUUUAAGUUGGGGGGAAGGGCAGUAAGUUAAUACCUUGCUGUUUUGACGUUACCAACAGAAUAAGCACCGGCUAACUUCGUG